UGGGGAAUAUUGCACAAUGGGCGAAAGCCUGAUGCAGCAACGCCGCGUGAGUGAUGAAGGCCUUCGGGUUGUAAAGCUCUGUCUUUUGGGACGAUAAUGACGGUACCAAAGGAGGAAGCCACGGCUAACUACGUGCCAGCAGCCGCGGUAAUACGUAGGUGGCAAGCGUUGUCCGGAAUUACUGGGCGUAAAGAAUGCGUAGGUGGAUAUGCAAGUCAGAUGUGAAAUACCCGGGCGCAACUUGGGUGCUGCAUUUGAAACUAUAUAUCUAGAGUGCAGGAGAGGAAAGCGGAAUUCCUAGUGUAGCGGUGAAAUGCGUAGAGAUUAGGAAGAACACCAGUGGCGAAGGCGGCUUUCUGGACUGUAACUGACACUGAGGCAUGAAAGCGUGGGG
Molecule: ribosomal RNA, 394 nt
Filed under: uncultured bacterium
Lineage: Bacteria
Description: bacterial SSU rRNA
Rfam family: Bacterial small subunit ribosomal RNA
Source: RNAcentral